AACGAACGCUGGCGGCAGGCUUAACACAUGCAAGUCGAACGCCCCGCAAGGGGAGUGGCAGACGGGUGAGUAACGCGUGGGAACAUACCCUUUCCUGCGGAAUAGCUCCGGGAAACUGGAAUUAAUACCGCAUACGCCCUACGGGGGAAAGAUUUAUCGGGGAAGGAUUGGCCCGCGUUGGAUUAGCUAGUUGGUGGGGUAAAGGCCUACCAAGGCGACGAUCCAUAGCUGGUCUGAGAGGAUGAUCAGCCACAUUGGGACUGAGACACGGCCCAAACUCCUACGGGAGGCAGCAGUGGGGAAUAUUGGACAAUGGGCGCAAGCCUGAUCCAGCCAUGCCGCGUGAGUGAUGAAGGCCUUAGGGUUGUAAAGCUCUUUCACCGAUGAAGAUAAUGACGGUAGUCGGAGAAUAAGCCCCGGCUAACUUCGUG
This 431-nucleotide ribosomal RNA is filed under the name uncultured bacterium. Its description in RNAcentral is "partial 16S ribosomal RNA". It matches the Rfam family "Bacterial small subunit ribosomal RNA", at positions 29 to 507 of the family's 1533-position model. The record is from RNAcentral.